This is an RNA transcript of Ricinus communis (castor bean), 1039 nucleotides long. RefSeq lists it as uncharacterized. The record is from RefSeq and is a predicted model, not a curated record. NCBI's taxonomy places the organism in Eukaryota, Viridiplantae, Streptophyta, Magnoliopsida, Malpighiales, Euphorbiaceae. The transcript has 6 exons.
UGCUGUAAGUUCAAUUUUUCUCUUUGGAGAUUUCUUAUGGCCACCAUUUCUCUGGAAUAAAGAUAUUUAAAAGAACGGCGGGAGUUCCAUUUCUCUGUCUCUCUAACUUAAUGGCAAACCUUCUCUCCCACGCGUCCAUAACUCCCAGACUUAAUUCUGACCAUCAAAAUAUCAUUUUCUCUCCAAUUUAUCCUAGAAAAUUCAACAGAAUUCGCUGUAACGGAGAGAACCCAUCCACCAGAAAAGAAUCGGAGCCUGAGAAUGCCCUGCUCAAGGUAGCUUGGUACAGCUCCGAGCUUCUUGGCAUCGCCGCGUCAUUUUUCCGUUCACCUUCAGUUACUAGUGAAGCGAAUUUCAAGCUCUCCAUUGACGACUUGGGAAGCAUUGAUCGUGCCACAGUCGUCCAAUCUAUCAAAGAUGACUUCCAAAGAUCGUAUUUUGUCACAGGGAAUCUCACAUCCGAUGCAUAUGAAGAGGAUUGUGAAUUUGCUGAUCCAGCUGGUUCAUUUAAAGGACUUCGACGUUUCAAAAGGAACUGCACAAACUUCGGAUUACUUCUUGAGAAGUCCAAUAUGAAGCUUAUGAAGUGGGAAGACUUUGAGGAUAAGGGAAUUGGAUACUGGCGAUUUAGCUGUAUCAUGUCAUUUCCUUGGAAGCCUAUUCUUUCUGUUAAACAAUCCACUCAUGGGGACUACACCAGUUUUAGCUUCCACUUAAGAGAUGUGUUCAUCAUUAAUAGAUAAAAUGAGAAGGGCUUUUUACAUCAUACAAGAACCUUGCUCUUCAUUGAAUUGUGAGCUACUGGAUAUACGGAGUACUAUUUUGAUGUGCAGUCCGGAAGAGUAUGCAGGCAUGUCGAACAUUGGAAUGUACCCAAAAUGGCACUUCUAAAACAGAUUCUAAGACCCAGCCAGAGAUUUAGGCUUGGCAGAGGAAGAGGCUAUUGAAGGAUACAUGAACCUUAUUUCUGAGACAAGAUUGAACAUUUGAUAUGCAUUUCAUGAGAAAGAAAGAUGUACAUCACAUAAGAACCCCUCUA